UGAACGCUGGCGGCGUGCUUAACACAUGCAAGUCGAACGGUGAACACGGAGCUUGCUCUGUGGGAUCAGUGGCGAACGGGUGAGUAACACGUGAGCAACCUGCCCCUGACUCUGGGAUAAGCGCUGGAAACGGCGUCUAAUACUGGAUAUGUGACGUGACCGCAUGGUCUGCGUCUGGAAAGAAUUUCGGUUGGGGAUGGGCUCGCGGCCUAUCAGCUUGUUGGUGAGGUAAUGGCUCACCAAGGCGUCGACGGGUAGCCGGCCUGAGAGGGUGACCGGCCACACUGGGACUGAGACACGGCCCAGACUCCUACGGGAGGCAGCAGUGGGGAAUAUUGCACAAUGGGCGCAAGCCUGAUGCAGCAACGCCGCGUGAGGGACGACGGCCUCGGUUGUAACCGUACUUUAGUCAGGAAGAAGCGAAGUAGACGGUACCUGCAGAAAAGACGCCGGCGUAACUACGCGCCAGCAGC
This 473-nucleotide ribosomal RNA is filed under the name uncultured Microbacterium sp. RNAcentral describes it as "bacterial SSU rRNA". It matches the Rfam family "Bacterial small subunit ribosomal RNA", at positions 30 to 515 of the family's 1533-position model. The record is from RNAcentral. Lineage: Bacteria; Bacillati; Actinomycetota; Actinomycetes; Micrococcales; Microbacteriaceae.